This 536-nucleotide ribosomal RNA is filed under the name uncultured bacterium. RNAcentral's name for it is "bacterial SSU rRNA". It matches the Rfam family "Bacterial small subunit ribosomal RNA", at positions 96 to 657 of the family's 1533-position model. The record is from RNAcentral.
CGGCGAACGGGUGCGUAACACGUGGUAAUCUGCCUUCUGGUGGGGAUAACCCGACGAAAGUCGGGCUAAUACCGCAUAUGGCCUAUGGGUCAAAGCAGCAAUGCGCCAGUUGAUGAGCCCGCGGCCCAUUAUUUAAUCCUAGUUGGCGGGGGUAAUGGCCCACCAAGGGUACGAUGGGUAGCUGGUCUGAGAGGACGAUCAGCCACACUGGGACUGAGACACGGCCCAGACUCCUACGGGAGGCAGCAGUGGGGAAUAUUGCGCAAUGGGCGAAAAGCCUGACGCAGCCAAUCCGCGUGGGUGAUGAAGGCCUUCGGGUUGUAAAGCCCUGUCGUGAGGGACGAAGUUCUGACGGUACCUCACAAGAAAGCACCGGCUAACCCCGUGCCAGCAGCCGCGGUAAUACGGGGGUGCAAGCGUUGCUCGGAAUCACUGGGCGUAAAGCGUCCGCAGGUGGAGAGGAAAGUCGGUCGUGAAAGCCCGAGGCUCAACCUCGGAACUGCGAUCGAAACUUCCUCCCUCGAGUUCGGGAGAGG